GACCCCAACAGUGAGUUCAGCUGCUUUUGUGUCUGUUAGAGCUUCAGCCAGAGGUGAGUGGAAUACCUUAUUAUGUUUCAAAAUAAAUAAAUAAAUUCUGAGCAUGAUACAUGCAUCAUGAAUGCCAUGUGAUAUUCUAGGUUGUUUGCAUUAGAAUUCACGAAUAUGUUGCAUUGCAUAAUAUGUUGAUGAUGUGGAUGAAUGUUGGAUGAUCCUUUAGCCGCACUACGUUAUGAUAUGAUACGGUACGGAAGACCAGUGAGGCCCAUUCUACGCCCCUGACACCAUAGUAAGAGAAAGACCAGCGAGGCCCAUUCUACGCCCCUGGCAUAUUGGAAUGUUAUGUUAUGAAUGUAAUGUAAGAGAAAGACCAGCGAGGCCCAGUCUACGCCCCUGGCACUAUUGGAUUCAGUAGUGGGCUGUUGGUGACAAGUUCAUCCUUGAUGUG
Molecule: long non-coding RNA, 448 nt
Filed under: Manihot esculenta (cassava)
Lineage: Eukaryota; Viridiplantae; Streptophyta; Magnoliopsida; Malpighiales; Euphorbiaceae
Description: long non-coding RNA (MESC_LNC008731)
Source: RNAcentral